RNAcentral lists this ribosomal RNA (484 nucleotides) under uncultured bacterium. RNAcentral's name for it is "partial 16S ribosomal RNA". It matches the Rfam family "Bacterial small subunit ribosomal RNA", at positions 30 to 507 of the family's 1533-position model. The record is from RNAcentral.
AUUGAACGCUGGCGGCAGGCCUAACACAUGCAAGUCGAGCGGAUGAAGGGAGCUUGCUCCUGGAUUCAGCGGCGGACGGGUGAGUAAUGCCUAGGAAUCUGCCUGGUAGUGGGGGAUAACGUCCGGAAACGGGCGCUAAUACCGCAUACGUCCUGAGGGAGAAAGUGGGGGAUCUUCGGACCUCACGCUAUCAUAUGAGCCUAGGUCGGAUUAGCUAGUUGGUGGGGUAAAGGCCUACCAAGGCGACGAUCCGUAACUGGUCUGAGAGGAUGAUCAGUCACACUGGAACUGAGACACGGUCCAGACUCCUACGGGAGGAAGCAGUGGGGAAUAUUGGACAAUGGGCGAAAGCAUGAUCCAGCAAUGCCGCGUGUGUGAAGAAGGUCUUCGGAUUGUAAAGCACUUUAAGUUGGGAGGAAGGGAAGUAAGUUAAUACCUUGAUGUAUUGACGUUACCAACAGAAUAAGCACCGGCUAACUUCGUG